Long non-coding RNA from Megalobrama amblycephala (Wuchang bream), 3340 nucleotides. RefSeq lists it as uncharacterized. The transcript is spliced from 2 exons. The record is from RefSeq and is a predicted model, not a curated record. NCBI's taxonomy places the organism in Eukaryota, Metazoa, Chordata, Actinopteri, Cypriniformes, Xenocyprididae.
CACUGAAGACUGGAGUAAUGAUGCUGAAAAUUUAAAAUAUAUUACAAAAGAAAACAGUUAUUUUACACUGCAAAAUUGUUUCCAGUCCAAAUAUCUAAAAAUUCUUAAAUCAAGAUGCAUUUACUAGAUGAGUAAAGUGGCAUAAGAUAUUAUGUCUUGCAAAAUUAUCUGCCAAUGGAUAAAGAAAUAGAAUCUUAAUUCAAACAGAAACAAGAUUAUUUUUCUUACCCCAAUGGCAGAUAAUUUUGCCUGUUUUAAGCAAAAACUCACUUAAUUUUGAGCAUUUUUUGCAGUUUAAAUUGUAAUUAUACUUACAAUUUUACUGUUUUUACUGUAUUCUUGAUCAAAUCAAUGCAGUCUUGGUGAGAAUAAAAGACUUCCUUAAUAAAUAUCUAAAGAAAUUGUACUGACCCAAACAUUUGAAUGGAAAAUUUUCAGCUAAAUUAUUACAUCUAAAUAAGGUUACUUUGGUGGCUUGUUUACAUCAGCCAUAUUUAAAACUACCAAUAUUUAAUACAUCACAGAGAAGAAACAGAGUGGAAAGGAUAAAGAAUUAUUAAGAGUCAAUUAAAACAUAGCUGUAAUGUGCACAGCCAAAUUUUCUCUGAAGAAAUGGUCUGUCAUCUAAGAAUAGCCGGAGUGCAUUAAAGUGUCUCUAGGGAAAAAAGAGUGCUGGAGAGAGAACCAGGCAAGGAUUGUACUGUGUAUGUAUGUGUGUGUAUUUCCUUCCGUCUAUUCUAAAAUCAAGCAUUAUUAUUAAUGUUUUAGCAGUGAAAUCAAGGGUGACAUCGAUUAGAUUUAGUUGUAUUCACUAAGCAUGCUGAUUUUGUUUUACAGAAUAGCAAGGUCAGAACAACAGUCCUGUGGCAGAAAAGAGAUUUUGAUCCAACGGUACUGAUCAUUGAGCAGCUUCUGCGGCCAAACUCAUGUUAAAUCUCGCAAAUGUGUCUAUAUUAGACAGGCAAAUACAAUGGCGAGAGUGAGGAGAAAAGAUAAGAGAGAGGAAGCUAUGGAUAGAAGGACCACAAUUGGGAAGGAAGAGAUGGAAAUCGGGCUGCAUGCUGAGAGUGGAAAUCAUUUUGACAUUAUCAGCCUAUUAAACACAUCCCAGUACUCAGCGGAGGAAGUUAACCACACAAACUGAGAUUUCUGUAGCAGUUCCCCUGCUGAGUAAAGGAAAGCUUUAGAAAAAGAUUAAAAAAGAUCAUUGUAAAUAAUGGUUAUUGUGGGGGUUUUCCUUAUGGCUUACACAGUGUUUUAUUUAUAAUAUUUCUAUUUUUGCACAGUGAUUCAUCUCCACAAUAACAGCUGGAUUCUGGGUCACUGUCCAUUAAUGCAAAUAAAUUCUGCUGGGGGAGCAGAACAAAGGCAAAAAGACCAGAUUAAGCAUGAUUUAGAUUUACGUCCCAAAGUCCCACAAAUACCUGGAAUAAUACAUGCAAACAGUAUUUUUGUCACUGUUUUUAGUAAAAAUAUCUGAACAUUCUUACAAACUAACUUUAUUUGAAAAGCAAAAUUGUAUCAAAAAUUAGGGCUUGUUUUUCCAGAAUGUAUCUGGAAUAAAUAUCAUGGCUCUUACGCCAAUGGCAGCUUUUUAAAGCUUAAAUGAAGCAAAAUAUAGCGUUGUUUAUGCAUUAAACAAUGAAAAACAAUUUGCCAGUGGGUUUAGGAAAAUAAACUUGGAUUUGUUCUCUGUUGUGCUUCCCAAGUAAAUUUAUCUUGUUCAAAGGAUGGUGUAAAACAAAAAUAUUGAUUUAAGAAAAUUAUUUUUUGCAGUACACCCAGAGCAUUUUCUUUGAUGCUGAGAUAAAAUGUUUGUUUUUGUGUGUGUGUGUGUGUAUGUGUGUGUGUGUGUGUGUGUGUGUGUGUGCUGUUAGAUACAGAAUCAGAAGCAAAUUUAAAAGCAGAGUUUUAAACUAACUCUUUUGAUCGCUUCAGUGCACCCGUUUGUUUUGCACGGCUCCAGCAUUUUCAGGGUAUCUGUUCCUGUCUGGUCAUUUUUUCCUCUUUUUUCCUCUCCUUUUCAGUCAGGUGUGUGUGUGUGUGUGUGUGUGUGUGUGUGUGUGGCACACUUUUAAACCCCAUACUGAGUACAAAGUGCAGCUUGAGAAGUUUUGGUAUUUUGCUCUAGUUUUCUAAAUCCCAGGAUCCAUUUCAGUGUUCAGAGAAACAGAAUAAAAUGAGGGAACAGUUGAGAUCAGAGAUCACCACAUAUCAUUUGCGAUAGGAUUUUCACGUUAGAUUCUCUUUAUUCGGUCGAUAUUAAACUAUAACAAUGUUGGUGCUGUAAUGUCUUAUUUCUACAUCAUACUGUUGUUUUUAUAUUUUUUCAUUAAGCUGUAAUAUAUAUACAUUUUUUGUCAUUCUUGUGCAGCUAUGAGAUUUUAUGCGAUAUGAGAUGAGUACAUGCAAGACUUCCAAAGGAAGGGUUAUAUUGGUUUCAUUUGUAGGGGGCGAAGAGUCGGUCAGAGUUAUUUAUAUUUCAUUGCACAUUUCAAAAGUGUCAUGGUCCCUUUAUAUGUAUUCUGUUAUUGACAGGUCAUCAUAUAUUAAAAUAUUAUCUUGUAGCAUAAUCAUAUUCAGCCAAAGCAGAGCCUUUGUGAGGUUUAGUAGUUUUUUUUUUGUUUUUUUGUUUUUUGAAGAUUUUAAAAGAAUCAAGUCACCAGAGCAGGUGUUUGAUUGGUUGAUCACAGAUGUACUUCAUUUGCAUUGGAUACUAUAUAUAUUGGGAACGUAUAUCAUAAGAAGAUACCAUAAAAACAAUCACAUGUACAGUGUACAAUAGCGCACAAACUUAUUCUAUAUAAUGUUAAAUUAAAUCUUAUGGAAAAUGUAAACAGUUUAUAAAAAAACAAAUGGUGCCGUUUCAUUCCGUUGUGAGAGAAUUCCUUUGAUUUCAUUGUAAUUACCUCUGGCUAAACACCCCUCCCCCCCACACACACACACAUAUAUGAUUAGAAUAUUUAUAUAUUCAUGAGGCUGCAUUACAUGUGAUUGUGCAACAUUCUCACUGAAUACACUACUGUUUUUUGUAUUUGUCAUCUUAUGCAUCUUAAAUACUGGGAGCUGUAUCAGUGAAAAGAGUGACUGACCUCACGAGGAAAUCUCACUUAAUGUUAUGCAUAUUGUUGCAUAUUGUUAUGUAUAUGUUGUAGUCUUGAUCAUGGAUGCAUCUCUCACUUGUGCAGAGCUUGCUACCUGUAUAAUGAUGGGAGGCACACAAUUUUUUAUUGUAAUAUGAAAUAUGCUGUCUACGCAAUUGUUUUUCUUAUACAUUUCACACUUAAGUGUAUUGUUUGAUUUAUGAAUAUUUUUGGUUAUUAAACUGUAAAAGAAUGUC